This 589-nucleotide ribosomal RNA is filed under the name Salmonella enterica. RNAcentral's name for it is "bacterial SSU rRNA". It matches the Rfam family "Bacterial small subunit ribosomal RNA", at positions 63 to 641 of the family's 1533-position model. The record is from RNAcentral. Lineage: Bacteria; Pseudomonadati; Pseudomonadota; Gammaproteobacteria; Enterobacterales; Enterobacteriaceae.
CGAACGGUAACAGGAAGCAGCUUGCUGCUUCGCUGACGAGUGGCGGACGGGUGAGUAAUGUCUGGGAAACUGCCUGAUGGAGGGGGAUAACUACUGGAAACGGUGGCUAAUACCGCAUAACGUCGCAAGACCAAAGAGGGGGACCUUCGGGCCUCUUGCCAUCAGAUGUGCCCAGAUGGGAUUAGCUUGUUGGUGAGGUAACGGCUCACCAAGGCGACGAUCCCUAGCUGGUCUGAGAGGAUGACCAGCCACACUGGAACUGAGACACGGUCCAGACUCCUACGGGAGGCAGCAGUGGGGAAUAUUGCACAAUGGGCGCAAGCCUGAUGCAGCCAUGCCGCGUGUAUGAAGAAGGCCUUCGGGUUGUAAAGUACUUUCAGCGGGGAGGAAGGUGUUGUGGUUAAUAACCGCAGCAAUUGACGUUACCCGCAGAAGAAGCACCGGCUAACUCCGUGCCAGCAGCCGCGGUAAUACGGAGGGUGCAAGCGUUAAUCGGAAUUACUGGGCGUAAAGCGCACGCAGGCGGUCUGUCAAGUCGGAUGUGAAAUCCCCGGGCUCAACCUGGGAACUGCAUUCGAAACUGGCAGGC